RNAcentral lists this small RNA (494 nucleotides) under Arabidopsis thaliana (thale cress). RNAcentral's name for it is "ATSL278030". Lineage: Eukaryota; Viridiplantae; Streptophyta; Magnoliopsida; Brassicales; Brassicaceae. The record is from RNAcentral.
GAAUCUGGUUUCAUACAAGUUCUACUGAAAUAGAUUCUUAUGCAUAGUGGACUAAAACGUAAUUUUACUUAGAUAUUUUCUAAUUAUUACGUUUCGUAAAUAUGAUUUAUCAUAUGACUUUCUUUUUCUUCAUUUUAGUGCGUUCUAAUAACUUCGUAACAUUGACAUACAAUUUUUUUUCACGUAAUGGUCAUUCGAGACGUUAAAAAUACCAAAAAAAAAAAACACGAGACUCUAUAUGGUUAUAUGCAAGGGAUGAGAUUUAAAAUAUUGAUUUAAAUUACUAAUAUAUUAGGAUGUGGUUGGUGUACUAGAUGACAAAAGAAUACAUAGAAUAAAGAAUUAUUUGUUACAAUUAAACUAGCCAAGUUUCGAAAGACAUAAAUAACAUAACUACAUACCUUAUAUCACUAUAUCAUAUAUUGUUAUUGUAUGUAUUCAUGAUAGUAAAAAAAUAAGAUAAUAAGUAUAUAAAUAUUCAUAUUACAGUAAAA